RNAcentral lists this ribosomal RNA (307 nucleotides) under uncultured eukaryote. RNAcentral describes it as "partial 18S ribosomal RNA". It matches the Rfam family "Eukaryotic small subunit ribosomal RNA", at positions 1470 to 1796 of the family's 1831-position model. The record is from RNAcentral.
CCCUUAGACGUUCUGGGCCGCACGCGCGCUACACUGACGAAGGCAACGAGCUUUCCUUUACCGAAAGGUACGGGUAAUCUUUUGAAACUUCGUCGUGCUGGGGAUAGAUCCUUGCAAUUUUUGAUCUUAAACGAGGAAUGCCUAGUAAGCGCAAGUCAUCAACUUGCGUUGAUUACGUCCCUGCCCUUUGUACACACCGCCCGUCGCUACUACCGAUUGAAUGGUUUAGUGAGGCCUUCAGAUCCGCGACUCGUUUGUGGAGAAGUUGGACAAACUCAGUCAUUUAGAGGAAGUAAAAGUCGUAACA